Molecule: ribosomal RNA, 466 nt
Filed under: Acropsilus sp. 1 SNK-2009
Lineage: Eukaryota; Metazoa; Arthropoda; Insecta; Diptera; Dolichopodidae
Description: partial 16S ribosomal RNA
Rfam family: Bacterial large subunit ribosomal RNA
Source: RNAcentral
GAUAAUUUAAAUGGCCGCAGAAUUUUAACUGUGCAAAGGUAGCAUAAUCAUUAGUCUUUUAAUUGUGGACUGGAAUGAAUGAUUGGACGAAAUAUAAACUGUUUCAUAUAAAAAAGUAUAAUUUUAUUUUUUAGUAAAAAAGCUAAAAUUUUUUAAAAAGACGAGAAGACCCUAUAGAUCUUUAUAUCUAUCUUUUUAGCUUAUAAUAAAGAAAUUUUAUUUAUCUAUAGGGAUUAUAUUUUAUUGGGGUGAUAGUAAAAUUUAAUUAACUUUUAGAUAAUUGAACAUUGAUUUAUGAAUUGUUGAUCCUUUAUAUUGAUUAAAAAUUUAAGUUACCUUAGGGAUAACAGCGUAAUCAUUCUGGAGAGUUCCUAUCGAUAGAAUGGAUUGCGACCUCGAUGUUGGAUUAAGAUAAAUCUUAGGUGCAGAAGCUUAAGUGAUAAGUCUGUUCGACUUUUAAAUUCUU